Molecule: transfer RNA, 72 nt
Filed under: Hordeum vulgare
Lineage: Eukaryota; Viridiplantae; Streptophyta; Magnoliopsida; Poales; Poaceae
Description: tRNA-OTHER
Source: RNAcentral
UGGGUAGUAGCACAGUGGUGUAGUGUAGUUGUUAUGGAUAGUAGGUUUGGGGUUCGAUCCCCAAGCACCCCU